AAAGAGGUUGGAACCAAACUUUGGAAAAUAGGUAAUAUAAUAUUCUUAUAUUUUGUUUUACUAAUAUGAGAGUAUAGAAAUUUAUUAAUUUGAGUUAUAUAGUGAGAUUGACUAAUAUAAUUAGAAACAAGAAAAGAAUAAGUAAUGCUUCCCUUAACUCAUAUCACUUUGUGGAAGAAUCAUGGGUGCCUGUAGAACACUUUGUAAUGAAGAUUUAUUUUUUUAAAACAAAUCAAAUUCUUAAUAUCUUUGUAUGUAGUAGUAUGAAUUAAUAUUUGAACAGACAUAGAAACAAAGGCAAUUUGUUGAAGGCAUUCUUUUUAAUUCAAAGGAUAAACUUUCUUACUUCACUUGCUUAAGAUUAUAUUCUAGGUGUAUAUAAUUUUGUUAGGUACGAAAGAAAGUAUUGCCGAUAGUGAUCCUAUAUGAUUUAGAUAUAUACACAUAGUUGGAAUAAUUUGGGUAAAAGAAAAUUAAAAAAAUAUAAAUAUACGAGUAAGUUAAAAUUGAUAGAUUAUAUGCUAGUUGAAUUACUCAUAGCAUGGAUAAAUAUAAUUCAGCGAAUUAAUGGUAUAACAUAAAACUCUGAGGAUUUGGUUCUAAAUUUAGCUAUGAAUUAGCUUAAACAAAGAAAUUAACACAAGAUCGAUAUUGAUGUGAUUAUAGAUUAAUUGAAGAAAGUCGUACAGAUCACUCGAGGCGACGUGUUUGGUAUUUCGACACGAGUACUUGAGUAGUAAUCUUACCGCAAUUUGUGUUUUCAUAACCUGCAUGGUUUAUACAUUAUUUUGAAAAGAAAAUGUGUUACCGAAUGUUUGAAAUUACAUGUAGGACAAGUCUCUUACUUGAUAUGGUACUUAAUAGUUUACUUGAGAUAUUUGCUGUUAUUUAAAAUGUUCUCAUGUUACUAGAUAUGUUUUACUAUUACUAGAGAUAUGAUUACCGUUGCCGAAAUUGGAUUACAUGAUUUGAUAAAAAUUGAAAUGCCCUGUACUGUUUUGAAAAUUCUUCCAUGUGAAGAUUUACUGUUUACAAAGAAAAGUAUGAAUGGGAGAAGACUUUGAAGGAUCCCGUAGCUAACGGCGGGUUUGUUAGACAUGGUGCACCUUGUAUUUACUGAUUACCGAGUACAGUUAGAGCCCUCACUAGUGGGAAGGUAGAACUAGCAUACAGUUACAGUUUUUCCUCGAGUAGGGACCUACAAUUAUAUUUGACUCCUCUUAUGAAGGGGUCCGCAUAGUGAUACAGAUUACAUGAUCCUUUUCUGAAAACCUCCCAAAUAUAAAGAUUUGAUAUGACACAAUAUUUACCGAGUUUAUUACUGAAUUGUUAAAUUGAUUUUGUUACAUGAAGCACAUGAUGAGACUGAUUAUUAUUACCAUUUUAAAAAGGGCAUUACAUUUUGUGAUUAUUAUACAAGCGUGUUUUCUGACUUAUCCCCUAUUAAAAAUGGUUGUGGUUAAGUAGUAUUACUCACUGAGCUAGUGACUCAGUCCCUACUAUUAUUUUUACAGAGAUAGCAGUAGACACAAGCAAGGAUUUCGUUAAUCAGAGUACACGAGUUGGCAAUUCCUGAUGAGCCCCGCAUUUAUUCGCGUGGGUAAAGAUUGUUAUUAAUUUGUUAUAGUCUCUUUCUUGAAACUCUUAGAGUCGCUCCAUAGUCAUUUUUAUGAGUGUAAUAAGUAUUCUUUUAUUGAUAUAGACUUGUGAUUCGUAUUAGACUUCUUAU
Molecule: long non-coding RNA, 1729 nt
Filed under: Nicotiana tabacum (common tobacco)
Lineage: Eukaryota; Viridiplantae; Streptophyta; Magnoliopsida; Solanales; Solanaceae
Description: long non-coding RNA (NTAB_LNC006056)
Source: RNAcentral